RNAcentral lists this ribosomal RNA (253 nucleotides) under uncultured bacterium. Its description in RNAcentral is "partial 16S ribosomal RNA". It matches the Rfam family "Bacterial small subunit ribosomal RNA", at positions 524 to 776 of the family's 1533-position model. The record is from RNAcentral.
UACGGAGGAUUCGAGCGUUAUCCGGAUUUAUUGGGUUUAAAGGGUGCGUAGGCGGUUUGAUAAGUUAGAGGUGAAAUGUCGGGGCUCAACCCCGAAACUGCCUCUAAUACUGUUGGACUAGAGAAUAGUUGCGGUAGGCGGAAUGUAUGGUGUAGCGGUGAAAUGCUUAGAGAUCAUACAGAACACCGAUUGCGAAGGCAGCUUACCAAACUAUAUCUGACGUUGAGGCACGAAAGCGUGGGUAGCAAACAGG